RNAcentral lists this ribosomal RNA (253 nucleotides) under uncultured bacterium. Its description in RNAcentral is "partial 16S ribosomal RNA". It matches the Rfam family "Bacterial small subunit ribosomal RNA", at positions 524 to 776 of the family's 1533-position model. The record is from RNAcentral.
UACGUAGGGUGCAAGCGUUAAUCGGAAUUACUGGGCGUAAAGCGUGCGUAGACGGUUGCGUAAGUCAGAUGUGAAAGCCCCGGGCUCAACCUGGGAAUUGCAUUUGAGACUGCGUAGCUAGGGUGCGGAAGAGGGAAGCGGAAUUUCCGGUGUAGCGGUGAAAUGCGUAGAUAUCGGAAGGAACACCAGUGGCGAAAGCGGCUUCCUGGUCCAGCACCGACGUUCAGGCACGAAAGCGUGGGGAGCAAACAGG